Molecule: long non-coding RNA, 666 nt
Filed under: Cricetulus griseus (Chinese hamster)
Lineage: Eukaryota; Metazoa; Chordata; Mammalia; Rodentia; Cricetidae
Description: lncRNA (ENSCGRG00015042027.1)
Source: RNAcentral
CGCUUGUCUGGCCUGCACAAACCUAGCGGCUCAGCACAGCCACCGGCAGCCCCUCCAGCACCGCUGACGCCUGAGCCAGUGCCCACAGCCCAUGUAAGAACCAGAACUAAGUACGACUUGGGAGCCCAUCAAGCUGAGUGCUGUCCAUUCUGAACCCGAGUCCACAGUACCAGGCCCUCAGGAGCCUCAACAGCCUGAAUCCAGAGGAACAGAAGUCAAAAGCCUGAACCUGUGAGCCACUGCAGGAGAGUGCUGAGGUUGGAGCCCAACAGCCCAGGGUUUUCCAUAGCAGUGCCAUGGAUCCAGAGCCACAGGGACAUCUAAGCCACAUCUCACUCAGCUGCUGCAGCCACCUGUCACAUGUGGCUAGAAUCAUAGAACAGCUCCAGCUUCGUGAGCGCCACAACACACAUGUGUGGAAGUCAGAGGACAGCUUGCAAGAGCAGUUUUCUCCUUCUGCCAUAAGACCCAGAGAUCAAGCUCAGGCCAUCAAGUUCAGCAGCAAGCACUUUGACCCACUGAGUCGUCUCAAUAGCCCACCGAAAGGGAUCACUUCCUUCCUUCCUUCCUUCCUUCCUUCCUUCCUUCCUUCCUUCCUUCCUUCCUCUCUCUCUCUCUCUCUCUCUCUCUCUCUCUCUCUCUUUGGUUUUUUGAGACAUGGUUUCU